UACGUAGGUGGCAAGCGUUGUCCGGAAUUAUUGGGCGUAAAGCGCGCGCAGGCGGUCCUUUAAGUCUGAUGUGAAAGCCCACGGCUCAACCGUGGAGGGUCAUUGGAAACUGGGGGACUUGAGUGCAGAAGAGGAGAGUGGAAUUCCACGUGUAGCGGUGAAAUGCGUAGAGAUGUGGAGGAACACCAGUGGCGAAGGCGACUCUCUGGUCUGGUACUGACGCUCAGGAGCGAAAGCGUGGGGAGCGAUCCGG
Molecule: ribosomal RNA, 253 nt
Filed under: uncultured bacterium
Lineage: Bacteria
Description: partial 16S ribosomal RNA
Rfam family: Bacterial small subunit ribosomal RNA
Source: RNAcentral